RNAcentral lists this ribosomal RNA (492 nucleotides) under uncultured bacterium. RNAcentral's name for it is "partial 16S ribosomal RNA". It matches the Rfam family "Bacterial small subunit ribosomal RNA", at positions 29 to 507 of the family's 1533-position model. The record is from RNAcentral.
AGUGAACGCUGGCGGUAGGCCUAACACAUGCAAGUCGAACGGCAGCACAGUAAGAGCUUGCUCUUACGGGUGGCGAGUGGCGGACGGGUGAGGAAUACAUCGGAAUCUACUUUUUCGUGGGGGAUAACGUAGGGAAACUUACGCUAAUACCGCAUACGACCUACGGGUGAAAGCAGGGGAUCUUCGGACCUUGCGCGAUUGAAUGAGCCGAUGUCAGAUUAGCUAGUUGGCGGGGUAAAGGCCCACCAAGGCGACGAUCCGUAGCUGGUCUGAGAGGAUGAUCAGCCACACUGGAACUGAGACACGGACCAGACUCCUACGGGAGGCAGCAGUGGGGAAUAUUGGACAAUGGGCGCAAGCCUGAUCCAGCCAUACCGCGUGGGUGAAGAAGGCCUUCGGGUUGUAAAGCCCUUUUGUUGGGAAAGAAAAGCAGCAGGUUAAUACCCCGCUGUUCUGACGGUACCCAAAGAAUAAGCACCGGCUAACUUCGUG